UAUGUGAUCGUCUCUCGCAUAUCAAUAAGCGGAGGAAAAGAAACUAACAAGGAUUCCCCUAGUAACGGCGAGUGAAGCGGGAAGAGCUCAGAUUUGAAAUCUUAAAGGGUUUCCCUUUACGAAUUGUAGUUUAAAGAAGUGUUUUCUGUUGAGGUUUUGGUAAAAGUUCUUUGGAAUAGGACAUCAUAGAGGGUGAGAAUCCCGUAUUUGACCUUUACUUUCAACUUUGUGAUACACUUUCAAAGAGUCGGAUUGUUUGGGAAUGCAGUCCAAAAUGGGUGGUAAAUUUCAUCUAAAGCUAAAUAUUGGCGAGAGACCGAUAGCGAACAAGUACCGUGAGGGAAAGAUGAAAAGAACUUUGAAAAGAGAGUUAAACAGUACGUGAAAUUGUCAAAAGGGAAGCGUUUGACACCAGUGUUGUUUUUCUGAAAAUCAAUUAAAGAACUGUUUAUGCUAAGUUGUUUAGACUUUAUCAGCUAACUGUCUAGUUUUGAGCUUUUCUUUAAUGCACUUUUCAGUUAACAAGGUCAACAUCAUUUCUUUUGCUGUAAAAAAGCUUGAGGAAGGUGGCUUGAGAUUCGUCUUAAGUGUUUAUAGCCUCUUGCCUAUGCAGUCGGAGAGAUUGAGGUCUGCAGCGUAGAUCCUUCGGGGCUAAAUGCAUUUGUGCUAAGUUAUAGCAUUUUAUAGACAACUUGUUGACUAUGAUUUGUCUUGUAGCUUACUCGCUUAUGUUAUUUUACCUACGCUUAGGAUGUUGAAGACUCUACAGAGAUA
This 774-nucleotide ribosomal RNA is filed under the name uncultured Neocallimastigales. Its description in RNAcentral is "partial large subunit ribosomal RNA". It matches the Rfam family "Eukaryotic large subunit ribosomal RNA", at positions 24 to 626 of the family's 3401-position model. The record is from RNAcentral. Lineage: Eukaryota; Fungi; Neocallimastigomycota; Neocallimastigomycetes; Neocallimastigales.